GAACGCUGGCGGCAUGCCUUACACAUGCAAGUCGAACGGUAACAGGUCUUCGGAUGCUGACGAGUGGCGAACGGGUGAGUAAUACAUCGGAACGUGCCCGAUCGUGGGGGAUAACGAGGCGAAAGCUUUGCUAAUACCGCAUACGAUCUACGGAUGAAAGCGGGGGAUCUUCGGACCUCGCGCGGACGGAGCGGCCGAUGGCAGAUUAGGUAGUUGGUGGGAUAAAAGCUUACCAAGCCGACGAUCUGUAGCUGGUCUGAGAGGAUGAUCAGCCACACUGGGACUGAGACACGGCCCAGACUCCUACGGGAGGCAGCAGUGGGGAAUUUUGGACAAUGGGCGAAAGCCUGAUCCAGCCAUGCCGCGUGCAGGAUGAAGGCCUUUGGGUUGUAAACUGCUUUUGUACGGAACGAAAAGCCUCUUUCUAAUAAAGAGGGGUCAUGACGGUACCGUAAGAAUAAGCACCGGCUAACUACGUG
This 479-nucleotide ribosomal RNA is filed under the name uncultured bacterium. Its description in RNAcentral is "partial 16S ribosomal RNA". It matches the Rfam family "Bacterial small subunit ribosomal RNA", at positions 31 to 507 of the family's 1533-position model. The record is from RNAcentral.